Molecule: RNA transcript, 1908 nt
Organism: Uranotaenia lowii
Lineage: Eukaryota; Metazoa; Arthropoda; Insecta; Diptera; Culicidae
Gene name: zinc finger protein 510-like
Exons: 6
Source: RefSeq, a predicted model, not a curated record
AUUCCACGAAAACAUCAAAAAGUUUCGAUUAAAGUUUUGCUCAUAAAAAUCGUUACCUACCUACCUACCUAAGGGUCCAGCGCCGAUUGACCGGCGCAUAGGGCUGAGAUAAAAGAUCUCCACUGCUGGCGAUCCGGAGCCAGCGUCUUCACUUGCUGCCAGCCAAGGUUCUCGUCAACUGUGCGGAUUUCAGCGGCUACUUAAAAAAAUUCGCUUGGAACAAGUUUUUUGUAAAUCAGAGCCUGAAGAACACGGAGAAUCUACACAAAUGUCGAAUCAUGUGGAAAUUCUCGUAAAAGAAGAACUAAUCAUUGAACCAGAGGAAAUGCAACUCUCUGAACAACCCGAAGCGUUUCUGUGGCCGAAGUCAGAUGUACGGAUCCAACGUAAAUUGUGUAACGAGGAACAAGUAGCGUCUCCAAAACUGUUCAACCCGUUACGAUGUUCGUUUUGCUUCGAGGUACGAAUCGAGAAACAGAUAUGUCCCGAAUCAACCGACGACGAAAGCUUCAAAAAGUUGGCAGAAUUCGUACUAGCUAGACAGUUGGAUUUAUCUUACUUUCGGUGCUGCGUAAUUUGCUACAGGACAUUGGAGCAGUUUAGCGUUUUUAAACAAACAUGCCUCGAGUCGUUGGAUCGUUCGUUAGAGCUGUGGAAAGUUGAAUUAGAUUCUAAGGAUGAAGAACCCCAGCCGAACUCAUUUGAAACUGGCGAAACUGAAUUUAAUGCUAAGUGCUUGUCUUCGGAUCACCAUCUUGCCGGUCGGUCAAUCAAUGCAGAUAAGGCUAAUGAAGUUAGUGAAAGUGGCAGCCAACCUUCUUCAGAUAUUGAGAAAAAGGAAUCUCGCAAGCGCAAAAGAUCAUACAAAAUAAAGAAGACUUACACCUGCGAAAUUUGCUCCAAAAAAGUUCAGUUAAGAAGGAAAGAUGUACACCUCAAUAAACAUAAUGGUAUCAAAAGCAUACCGUGUAGUAACGAAGGCUGCGAUAAGAUGUUUUUGGGUUACAUAGAACGGAAUCGUCACAAAAGUCAAUGCCAGAUGAAAUCUGUGAAAGAAUACACUUGCCCCCACUGCGGCAAGGUGCUGAGAGGGUCUGGAAGCUAUAACGAUCAUCUGCAGCUUCACAGUGAUGUCUUCUACGAUUGCGAAGUUUGUGGGAAAAAAUUCAAAACGAAGGACCGGGUUUUAAAACACAGAUACUAUGUGCACUCGGAGGAGAGAAAGUUUGAAUGUCAAGUGUGCCAGAAGCGGUUUAAGUCCAGAGAAUCCUGUAGGGUGCAUCAGCGUACGCAUUCUGUCGAAAGACCUUACCAGUGCACGGCUUGCGAGAAACAAUUUAAGCAUAAUCGGUCGCUUAAGGCACAUUUUGAAAGCAAUCAUGGUUCGAAGUAGAGAAACUGGUCUUCUAUGCAAAAAAAAUGACGAUGGAUUUUUUCAACGAAACAAUCCCUAAAGAAGCACGGCCAGGUGCAUUCAGAGGAACGAAACAUCAAUGCGAGCUGUGCAAAAAUCGUUAUAAAUCCUGGUACGUCUAUCUGGUGCAUCAGCGUACCCACCCGAUCGAGAAACCCUACAAGUGCACGAUAUGCGCGGAACGGUUAAUUUAUCGUGGGGUGCUCAAGUCUCAUCUGGAGUGCAAUCGUGGUUUGAAGUAGGGAAACUGUUAGAAGAUCCGUUGGAAGCAACAUAAAUUUGUUGGCGCCAUCAACAUGAGGAUCAACCAGCUGGAUGGACAAAUGGAAAUGUAGUAAGUAACAAUCCUAUUUUAUUUAUUUGGGAAUGAUCAGCUCUCGUCUUUUUGGCAUCGUACUAAUGUACAUAUAUCUGUUUUCCUUUCCUAUUUCUUACGACCCAAAACGGAGGAUACCAAAUAGUUAACUCAUAGUAAAGUUGAUACCUGAGCUUAA